Molecule: small nuclear RNA, 107 nt
Organism: Schistocerca nitens (vagrant locust)
Lineage: Eukaryota; Metazoa; Arthropoda; Insecta; Orthoptera; Acrididae
Source: RefSeq, a predicted model, not a curated record
GUACUCACUUUGACGGUGCAUAUACUGAAAUUGGAAGGAUAUAGAAUAGAUUAGCAUGGACCCUGAGCAAGGAUGACACGAAAAAAUGUCAGUAAAUCACUUGCCUA